Molecule: ribosomal RNA, 979 nt
Filed under: Thelebolus sp.
Lineage: Eukaryota; Fungi; Ascomycota; Leotiomycetes; Thelebolales; Thelebolaceae
Description: SSU rRNA
Rfam family: Eukaryotic small subunit ribosomal RNA
Source: RNAcentral
UAGUAUAAGCAAUCUAUACAGUGAAACUGCGAAUGGCUCAUUAAAUCAGUUAUCGUUUAUUUGAUAGUACCUUACUACUUGGAUAACCGUGGUAAUUCUAGAGCUAAUACAUGCUAAAAACCUCGACUUCGGAAGGGGUGUAUUUAUUAGAUAAAAAACCAAUGCCCUUCGGGGCUCCUUGGUGAUUCAUGAUAACUUAACGAAUCGCAUGGCCUUGUGCCGGCGAUGGUUCAUUCAAAUUUCUGCCCUAUCAACUUUCGAUGGUAGGAUAGUGGCCUACCAUGGUUUCAACGGGUAACGGGGAAUUAGGGUUCUAUUCCGGAGAGGGAGCCUGAGAAACGGCUACCACAUCCAAGGAAGGCAGCAGGCGCGCAAAUUACCCAAUCCCGACACGGGGAGGUAGUGACAAUAAAUACUGAUACAGGGCUCUUUUGGGUCUUGUAAUUGGAAUGAGUACAAUUUAAAUCCCUUAACGAGGAACAAUUGGAGGGCAAGUCUGGUGCCAGCAGCCGCGGUAAUUCCAGCUCCAAUAGCGUAUAUUAAAGUUGUUGCAGUUAAAAAGCUCGUAGUUGAACCUUGGGCCUGGUUGGUCGGUCCGCCUCGCGGCGUGCACUGAUCCGACCGGGCCUUUCCUUCUGGGGAACCGCAUGCCCUUCAUUGGGUGUGUUGGGGAUCCAGGACUUUUACUUUGAAAAAAUUAGAGUGUUCAAAGCAGGCAUAUGCUCGAAUACAUUAGCAUGGAAUAAUAGAAUAGGACGUGUGGUUCUAUUUUGUUGGUUUCUAGGACCGCCGUAAUGAUUAAUAGGGAUAGUCGGGGGCAUCAGUAUUCCGUUGUCAGAGGUGAAAUUCUUGGAUUUACGGAAGACUAACUACUGCGAAAGCAUUUGCCAAGGAUGUUUUCAUUAAUCAGUGAACGAAAGUUAGGGGAUCGAAGACGAUCAGAUACCGUCGUAGUCUUAACCAUAAACUAUGCCGACUA